UACGUAGGUCCCGAGCGUUGUCCGGAUUUAUUGGGUUUAAAGGGUGCGUAGGCGGACGCUUAAGUCAGCGGUAAAAUUGCGGGGCUCAACCUCGUCGAGCCGUUGAAACUGGGUGUCUUGAGUGGGCGAGAAGUACGCGGAAUGCGUGGUGUAGCGGUGAAAUGCAUAGAUAUCACGCAGAACUCCGAUUGCGAAGGCAGCGUACCGGCGCCCAACUGACGCUGAAGCACGAAGGCGUGGGUAUCGAACAGG
Molecule: ribosomal RNA, 252 nt
Filed under: uncultured bacterium
Lineage: Bacteria
Description: partial 16S ribosomal RNA
Rfam family: Bacterial small subunit ribosomal RNA
Source: RNAcentral